GCAUUGAUAGUUUAGUGGUAGAAUUCUCACCUUCCAUGUGGGAGACUCUGGUUCAACAGCCAGCCGAUGCU
RNAcentral lists this transfer RNA (71 nucleotides) under Loxodonta africana (African savanna elephant). It matches the Rfam family "tRNA". Rfam says of the family: Transfer RNA (tRNA) molecules are approximately 80 nucleotides in length. Lineage: Eukaryota; Metazoa; Chordata; Mammalia; Proboscidea; Elephantidae. The record is from Rfam by way of RNAcentral.